This 468-nucleotide ribosomal RNA is filed under the name uncultured bacterium. RNAcentral describes it as "partial 16S ribosomal RNA". It matches the Rfam family "Bacterial small subunit ribosomal RNA", at positions 28 to 507 of the family's 1533-position model. The record is from RNAcentral.
GACGAACGCUGGCGGCGUGCUUAACACAUGCAAGUCGAACGGAAAGGCCCUGCUUUUGUGGGGUGCUCGAGUGGCGAACGGGUGAGUAACACGUGAGUAACCUGCCCUUGACUUUGGGAUAACUCCAGGAAAAUGGGGCUCAUACCGGAUAGGAGCUCCUGCUGCAUGGUGGGGGUUGGAAAGUUUCGGCGGUUGGGGAUGGACUCGCGGCUUAUCAGCUUGUUGGUGGGGUAGUGGCUUACCAAGGCUUUGACGGGUAGCCGGCCUGAGAGGGUGACCGGCCACAUUGGGACUGAGAUACGGCCCAGACUCCUACGGGAGGCAGCAGUGGGGAAUAUUGCACAAUGGGCGGAAGCCUGAUGCAGCAACGCCGCGUGCGGAAUGACGGCCUUCGGGUUGUAAACCGCUUUCGCCUGUGACGAAGCGUGAGUGACGGUAAUGAGUAAAGAAGCACCGGCUAACUACGUG